AUAACAUGUAGUCCUAUACUCAUUAAGAUUCUGGAUUCAGGCACUUCUUGAAUAAGAUUACAUGGUCACCAUGAAGUAGGUAAGAUAAAAUGACAGACAACCUCUUUCAACAGCAUGCGCAAAAAUUCAUCAUUUUGGUUUGAAGUAAUAGAGGGAAUGCAUUUAGGAAUUUUGAAGUGAUUGUAACUUGCUACCGAAAGAAUUUAGUGCAGAGUGAAACAGAAAGGUAAUAUUUUGACUGAAUGGUUCAUAAAAUUCCUAAUUGAGUCCUUCUGGCGUUUUCUCAUGGACUCUUUGCAAAGAAAAGUCCAUACGGACAAUAAUCCUAAUUCCUGACCCGAGAUCUUCUCUCCUUAUAAAAACAAUUUACACCGGCGGAAUGCACAUUGUUUCUCUCGCGGCUCUCUCCAAUCCGUCACUACCGAACCAUUAAACCAGCGUCGCAAACAGCAGGGCAUGUUCUGAGUUGAAGAGGAUUACCAUUUCCUCAAAUGGAAACAGCAUUUUGUGUUCAAUCCUUCGAGGAUGAUAAGAAAAGAUGGGCCGAGCUUAGGGAAAAGUUAAUACAAGAAAAAUUAAGUCGGGAGGCUCUGGCGAAAAGUCACCUUCACAACUUUCCUGAAUAUGACCAUCUUUUGGUUUAUUCACCAGAGGAUAGUCUGUAUCUCAUGGAUGAUUCAUUCCCAGAACUCAUGGAAGUCAUAGAACUCCUUGAAAAAGAGAUUGAGCUAAAUUAAAGUUCAAGUGAUUACACUAAAGCUAAUACUGCCCGCGAGGAAGCUAGUGGAGGGAACAACUUCGAUAAAAUCUCAACAACGUCACCCCGGUGAAGCACGCUUUCUGCACACAGAUAUCUUCCAGAGGCGGAUGGAGUUUCGUAAGCAAGGAUAUGAGCUAAGGCUACAUCUUUGACAUGAACAUAGGCUUGA
Papaver somniferum (opium poppy) is the source of this 929-nucleotide long non-coding RNA. RefSeq lists it as uncharacterized. The transcript has 5 exons. The record is from RefSeq and is a predicted model, not a curated record. Lineage: Eukaryota; Viridiplantae; Streptophyta; Magnoliopsida; Ranunculales; Papaveraceae.